ACAAGGUUCUAGAAAAUACAAAUUUUCCAAAAUAUAUUUUACUCUCCAGUGCAGGUCUUUUCCUCCUAUAUUUCUGCUGUUAUUAACAUGACAUUUUAAGGGCUCUUAAGGUAAUAAUUUAAGGUGACAGCUAAAGCCUUUGUAGGAAAGUAUUUUUAUUUUGGAAAUCCUUUCUCAUGAAAGCUGAAACAAACACUUUAAAAGAGAGAGGUGAAAAUAAAGGUUGGAACACGUUUCUGUGUAAAUAUUCUGCCACCUACAAGCAUAUGGACCAACUGAUUCUCUGCCAAACAUUUGUUUACUUUUGGGGAGGGAAAGCUACAGCAUUGAGGAUGUCUGGAGCAGGCUCUGCACUGUCAUUAUGCUCUCACUGAGGGAUCAAACAUGACAUAGCAAAUCCCAAUAUUUAUUUGUUUCAUCUCUAGGAUAUCCUGAGGUACAGGCUACUAUACAGCAAUGAAGUAACUGCAUUCCUUCAAAGCCUUUUCGAAGAGAACAGGCUUCUAAGCCCAUGUAGACAUUGUCAACUCAGAGUAUGUGAUACAAAGGAGGGAAAAGCUGCUGAAGGCUGGACCAUCAUCAAUAUUCCAAGUAAAUGCCAAAGAAAAAAGGAAUUUCUGGGUCAAAGGUGAAAGUAUGUUUAACUGUACAAGAAACUGCCAAACACGUCUUCAACGUUGAUAAUUCCUCCCACCAUCAACGCAGGAGUGCUCAAGUUGCUUCACAUCUGCCACCCCUUGGCCAUUCUAGUUGGAGUGAAACUGCAUCUCUGUGGUUUGAUUUCAUAUUUCCCUGAUGACUAAAGAUGUUGGGUACUUUUGUCUACUGGGCAUUUGGAAACCACACCAGCAGACAAGGGAAUUGUCCACUGGUUCUUCCCAGAUAAUGAAUCACUAUUCCUGACUGCUGCCAUGAUGGUUGAUUGGAUCCUUGAGCAGACACGCCUCACCUCCCCCCUAGAAGGAAGACAGUGGUCCUGACUGAUAAACUACUCUGCUUCUUGAGUGAGUCCGGGCUUUCAAUCAGGUCUGGGAUUUCUGCAUCUGUGCAGCACAUGGCCAUGUGUCACUUUGGACACGCUGCGUUGGAAAUUUCUCUCUCCUCUGUUUGUCUUCUUUGUACUUCCCUUCUUCUGACCUGGGACAGAAGUCUUCCAGGACUGUGCUGAGAUGCGUGCACACCGAGCGGUGUGUGUGUCAUGACGGUGGAUGGAGGAGGGAGGGAACCCACUGAGAUGCCUGAGCAUGGAAUCCAGGCUUCACACCUCCCAGACAGCCCCUUGACCUGCACGUCCUGGGCUGCUCUGCAGCACCUUGGGUCUCAGCCAGCCAGGUAUUGCAUCACUAUUAUUUUGGAGAAAAUAUUUUCCUACUAUCAAGAGGAGAUUUGGAUAGGAAAUCAGCACUGAUAUCCAGAGGUAGAUGCUAUUGUGAGCAACUGAAUGGAUCCAAGCACUCAUUCCUGGGCAUAUUUUAUUUUGGACUAAAUCAGAAAAAGAGGUUUAUUUGUGUACUUCAGUGAACACAUACUAGGUUUUAGGGAACUGCUAAUCUUUUGUUAAAAUUCAUGGUCUUCUGGGAUUACUUGGUUAUUCAUUACAGGUAUCAAAGCAGAAACUAAAUUCUGCUGUAUUGUGAAGCUUGGCUCAUUCAAUUGGAAAAAUCUUAAUGAUCAAGAGACCAUGUGUUUUUACUCAGAUAUGUUUUAUGACAUAGCUGUAAAAUCUUGUCUCAAAUAGACCUACCACAGCCUUGCAUUGUUUCACAGACAGUAAUAGGACUCACUUCUAAAAUGCCUUUGUAUUAAGUCAAAAAUACUGAUGAAAACUAGAGAGCUUCACACAGGAAUUAUUUAUGACUUUUUUAUUACUAACACAAGAUCUUAAAAAACACUGUGUGUUAGCUUGAAGUGUUAGCUUCAAGUCUGUAGAAAUUGUAGCAAUGGGUGUGUGACAGCCGUGGGCUGUUCAGAAGAGGCUGCCUGGGUCACUGUUAACAACUGUGCUUAAAGGGUUCUUCUUGGCACAAGAAAGUUCCAGAAGGAUGAAAGUGUGAUACGUUGGCUACCAAUCUAGAAAAAAAAAUUUUUCCAUAAUAUUUGAAGGGGGAAAUGGACUAAAUUGUGUUUUUGACUCAGACUGUCUUCCACAGAGAAAAAAAAGAAAGGCAUACCUUGAAAGUUGGAGAACUCUUGUCUUAAGGGGAAGAAGUUCUGUUAACUAUGACCACUUAAACAUACUAAUCAAAUAAAGGAUUAACAUGUAAUCAAGCUGCAUAUGACAUUUAAUAAAUGUGAUA
Molecule: long non-coding RNA, 2297 nt
Filed under: Homo sapiens (human)
Lineage: Eukaryota; Metazoa; Chordata; Mammalia; Primates; Hominidae
Description: HSALNT0198443
Source: RNAcentral